Molecule: non-coding RNA, 24 nt
Filed under: Cricetulus griseus (Chinese hamster)
Lineage: Eukaryota; Metazoa; Chordata; Mammalia; Rodentia; Cricetidae
Source: RNAcentral
GCUUUGAAUUGUAGAUAAUCUCUU